GAAAUGCGAUAAGUAGUGUGAAUUGCAGAAUUCAGUGAAUCAUCGAAUCUUUGAACGCACAUUGCGCCCUUUGGUAUUCCUUAGGGCAUGCCUGUUCGAGCGUCAUUUACACCUUCAAGCUCUGCUUGGUGUUGGGCGUCUGUCCCUGCCCCCUGGGGCGUCGGGACUCGCCUCAAAUCGAUUGGCGGCCGGUACCGUUGGCUUUGAGCGCAGCACACCAGCGACCUCAUCGCCGGAGCGUAUCGGCUCCCAGGAAGCCCAUUUUCUCAUGUUUUGACCUCGGAUCAGGUAGGGAUACCCGCUGAACUUAAGC
Molecule: unclassified non-coding RNA, 313 nt
Filed under: plant metagenome
Description: partial contains 5.8S ribosomal RNA, internal transcribed spacer 2, and large subunit ribosomal RNA
Rfam family: 5.8S ribosomal RNA (bases 1-105)
Source: RNAcentral